UGGGGAAUAUUGGGCAAUGGAGGGAACUCUGACCCAGCCAUGCCGCGUGCAGGAUGAAGGCGUUAUGCGUUGUAAACUGCUUUUAUAUAGGAAGAAAUAGUCCUUGCGAGGAAAGUUGACGGUACUAUAUGAAUAAGCACCGGCUAACUCCGUGCCAGCAGCCGCGGUAAUACGGAGGGUGCAAGCGUUGUCCGGAUUUAUUGGGUUUAAAGGGUGCGUAGGCGGUUUAUUAAGUCAGUGGUGAAAGACGGUCGCUCAACGAUUGCAGUGCCAUUGAUACUGGUAGACUUGAGUAUGAUUGAGGUAGCUGGAAUGGAUAGUGUAGCGGUGAAAUGCAUAGAUAUUAUCCAGAACACCAAUUGCGUAGGCAAGUUACUAAGUCAUAACUGACGCUGAGGCACGAAAGUGUGGGUAUCAAACAGGAUUAGAUACCCUCGUAGUCCCUGAGCGGGCUGGCAAGGCGCAU
Molecule: ribosomal RNA, 466 nt
Filed under: uncultured bacterium
Lineage: Bacteria
Description: bacterial SSU rRNA
Rfam family: Bacterial small subunit ribosomal RNA
Source: RNAcentral